GACGAACGCUGGCGGCGUGCUUAACACAUGCAAGUCGAACGGUAAGGCCCUUUCGGGGGUCCACGAGUGGCGAACGGGUGAGUAACACGUGGGUGAUCUGCCCUUCACUUUGGGAUAAGCCUGGGAAACUGGGUCUAAUACCGGAUAGGACUACGCGAUGCAUGUCGUGUGGUGGAAAGCUUUUGCGGUGUGGGAUGGGCCCGCGGCCUAUCAGCUUGUUGGUGGGGUGAUGGCCUACCAAGGCGACGACGGGUAGCCGGCCUGAGAGGGUGUCCGGCCACACUGGGACUGAGAUACGGCCCAGACUCCUACGGGAGGCAGCAGUGGGGAAUAUUGCACAAUGGGCGCAAGCCUGAUGCAGCGACGCCGCGUGGGGGAUGACGGCCUUCGGGUUGUAAACCCCUUUCAGCACAGACGAAGCGUAAGUGACGGUAUGUGCAGAAGAAGCACCGGCCAACUACGUG
This 464-nucleotide ribosomal RNA is filed under the name uncultured bacterium. RNAcentral's name for it is "partial 16S ribosomal RNA". It matches the Rfam family "Bacterial small subunit ribosomal RNA", at positions 28 to 507 of the family's 1533-position model. The record is from RNAcentral.